AGGUAAACCCCACCUGGAGCAAGGCCAAAUAGGAAUUCUUUGACGUGGUCCGCGUUGAAUUCGGGUAGGCCGCUCGAGGCUGCUGGUGACGGUAGCCCUAGAUGAAUGACUGUCCUCGACAAAACCCGGCUUAUAGGCUGACUCACGCU
This 149-nucleotide RNase P RNA is filed under the name Gammaproteobacteria bacterium. Its description in RNAcentral is "partial RNase P RNA component class A". It matches the Rfam family "Bacterial RNase P class A", at positions 204 to 367 of the family's 367-position model. Rfam says of the family: Ribonuclease P (RNase P) is a ubiquitous endoribonuclease, found in archaea, bacteria and eukarya as well as chloroplasts and mitochondria. The record is from RNAcentral. Lineage: Bacteria; Pseudomonadati; Pseudomonadota; Gammaproteobacteria.